AAGGGUCAGUGAUGAUUUUUUCAGCAUAGUUCAUAUGAUUAAUCUGUGAUUAUUUAAACUUCUAGUCUUUCGCUCCUAUCUGAUGACCCUU
Molecule: small nucleolar RNA, 91 nt
Rfam family: Small nucleolar RNA snR60/Z15/Z230/Z193/J17
About the family: The members of this family belong to the C/D class of snoRNAs which contain the C (UGAUGA) and D (CUGA) box motifs. Most of the members of the box C/D family function in directing site-specific 2'-O-methylation of substrate RNAs.
Source: Rfam